GGGCGGUUAACUCAGCGGCUAGAGUACCUGCUUUACACGCAGGGAGUCGUAGGUUCGAAUCCUACACUGCCCA
RNAcentral lists this transfer RNA (73 nucleotides) under Deltaproteobacteria bacterium CG11_big_fil_rev_8_21_14_0_20_47_16. RNAcentral describes it as "tRNA-Val". It matches the Rfam family "tRNA". From Rfam's summary of the family: Transfer RNA (tRNA) molecules are approximately 80 nucleotides in length. Their secondary structure includes four short double-helical elements and three loops (D, anti-codon, and T loops). Lineage: Bacteria; Deltaproteobacteria. The record is from RNAcentral.